CCCUUAGAUGUUCUGGGCCGCACGCGCGCUACACUGACGAAUGCAACGAGCUUAUAACCUUGGCCGAAAGGUCUGGGUAAUCUCCAAAUUUCGUCGUGAUGGGGAUAGAUUAUUGCAAUUAUUAAUCUUCAACGAGGAAUGCCUAGUAAGCGCAAGUCAUCAGCUUGCGUUGAUUACGUCCCUGCCCUUUGUACACACCGCCCGUCGCUCCUACCGAUUGAGUGGUCCGGUGAAGCGUUCGGACCGUGGCCUUUGGACGGUUCGCCGUCUGUUGGCUGCGGGAAGUUCGUUAAACCUUAUCAUUUAGAGGAAGGAGAAGUCGUAACA
RNAcentral lists this ribosomal RNA (327 nucleotides) under uncultured eukaryote. Its description in RNAcentral is "partial 18S ribosomal RNA". It matches the Rfam family "Eukaryotic small subunit ribosomal RNA", at positions 1470 to 1796 of the family's 1831-position model. The record is from RNAcentral.